AGACCUUUUUCGCAGAUACAAGCAAGGUUAUACUUAGGAAUUAUUGCACGUUUUAAGCUAGCAAGUUCGUUGUGGUGCUACUGGGAAUUGCUUUUAUGGUGCUUCUAAAUCUAAUAAUUUCAUUGAUGGUAUGAGUCUGUAUAACAAGUUAUGAUCCUUUUCAUGUGUUUUUACAAGCGUGUUGUGCUAGAAUUUUAUGUUCUGAUUUGAGCAUGGAAAAUUUCAGUAAAGAUAGUGCGGUUGGCACCGAAAGUAGGUUGUUUUUUAUAUGAAUACAAGUGACUUUUGAGGAGCGUUUUCAGGGUUCCUGUCCUUCUUUUGUCCCAUCCACCGCAGUGGUUUGACAAAAAUACACGCUCUGAGAUUCCAUUUCAAUGACACGAAUUAAAGAGUGUGGAGAGAGCUGUCUGUCUCUAAACAUUUCAGGAGAAACAAUAACAAUCCGCAAAGCAUUGGAAGGUACGUAGACAAGGCCAGGGAUCAGUACAGCCUUGAAUUGAAUUGGAUUGGAAUGUGUUUGGAUUCAAUUCAAAAUCUGUCAUGGUCAAUGGUUUAAGAGCCUUAAUCACCCCGGAUUUCGAUUCUCUCCUUUCCUUUCAACCUUAAGUCAACAGUUUGAAUUGGUAGUUCAAUUUCAAUUCCAACAAUCUAUAAUAUGUAUAUAAAAGUAAAAAUAAGGAUGCGAAAUUAUGAAUGAACAAAAGUAUUUUU
This 711-nucleotide unclassified non-coding RNA is filed under the name Hevea brasiliensis (rubber tree). The record is from RNAcentral. Lineage: Eukaryota; Viridiplantae; Streptophyta; Magnoliopsida; Malpighiales; Euphorbiaceae.